Molecule: ribosomal RNA, 794 nt
Filed under: uncultured Methanosarcinaceae archaeon
Lineage: Archaea; Methanobacteriati; Methanobacteriota; Methanomicrobia; Methanosarcinales; Methanosarcinaceae
Description: partial 16S ribosomal RNA
Source: RNAcentral
GUGCUCCCCCGCCAAUUCCUUUAAGUUUCAACCUUGCGGUCGUACUUCCCAAGUGGCCCGCUUCACGGCUUCCCUACGGCACCACGGCAGUUCACGACUGCCGUGACACCUAGCGGGCAUCGUUUACGGCUAGGACUACCCGGGUAUCUAAUCCGGUUCGUGCCCCUAGCUUUCGUCCCUCACCGUCGGACCUGUUCUGGUAGGACGCCUUCGCCACCGGUGGCCCCCAGAGGAUUACAGGAUUUCACUCCUACCCCCUGAGUACCUCCUACCUCUCCCAGUCCCAAGCAAUGUAGUAUCCCGCAGACGCCCAACGGUUAAGCCGCUGGAUUUCCCACAAGGCUCGCAAAGCCGGCUACGGACCCUUUAGACUCAAUAAUAUCGGCCACCACUCGAGCCGCCGGUAUUACCGCGGCGGCUGGCACCGGUCUUGCCCGGCCCUUGCUAACAGCCGUUUUUUAGACAGCUGGACAGACACCUAAUGUAGAUGCCACUCGAUGUUCCCCUAUCGCAGUUGCCUGCAUUGUAGAGUUUUCGCGCCUGCUGCGCCCCGUAGGGCCUGGAUUCGUGUCUCAGAAUCCAUCUCCGGGCUCUUGCUCCCACAACCCGUACUGAUAAUCGGCACGCCGGUACUUUACACCGGCGUCAACCUAAUCAGCCGCAGACCCAUCCAAAGGCGCCAGAGCUUUCAAUCAAAAAACCCUUCCAGUACUCUUGACCUAUCCGGUAUUAUCCCCAGUUUCCCGGAGUUAUCCCAGACCUUUGGGUAGGUUGUCCACGUGUUACUGAGCCGU